This is a long non-coding RNA of Etheostoma cragini (Arkansas darter), 182 nucleotides long. RefSeq lists it as uncharacterized. The record is from RefSeq and is a predicted model, not a curated record. The transcript is spliced from 3 exons. NCBI's taxonomy places the organism in Eukaryota, Metazoa, Chordata, Actinopteri, Perciformes, Percidae.
ACGCCUGGCUUUUAAAAGGAAUGGGAGAUGACUUCCAAUUGGUUGAUUGCAUGGUACGCCCAAAACACACCUAUGAAUUAAUAAAGACACAAAGUACAGCCCUUUUUGAUCCAUGCGCCUGGCGCACGGACCCUUAUUUCUACCGUCAAACUAGCAAAAGUGGAUUUUUGUCAUACAUGUCU